Molecule: long non-coding RNA, 6533 nt
Filed under: Phoenix dactylifera (date palm)
Lineage: Eukaryota; Viridiplantae; Streptophyta; Magnoliopsida; Arecales; Arecaceae
Description: long non-coding RNA (PDAC_LNC001257)
Source: RNAcentral
ACUUAUUGUAUUGGAUGAACUGUAAAGGAUCGGUCAUAUUUAAUUUUGAUUUAUCAACAUCCAUCUCAUCCUCCUUGUCUAUGCAAUGCACAGGUUAUGUGCUUGGAUCUAGUGAAUACAACCAUUGUAGAUGUCACUACUGUCUUGCAAAAUCAAUAUCUUUAGUCUAUGAGGCUAAUGAAAAUUAUAUUACAAGUAUUCAAACAGCACAUGAAAGUUAGUUAGAUGGAAAGUAUCUUCCUAUUUUUUCGCAUAAGUCCUAAGAGCAAUAGAGUAUCUUGCGUCUCCUGAAUCCAAUGGGGUAUAAUUUUUGUCUCUAUCACACUAAAAGUGCAUUCCAUAUAUAUUUAUUUAGUUAUGCUAACAAUUGGCACCUUGUUCUCUAAAUUUUCAUCAAUAUUCUACAUUUACGGUUCACUUACGUUCUCUCAAUUAACACUACAUAUAAACUAGCAUACAUCCUGGCACCUUCUCAACAUUAGCAGUCUGUUUGUUUUUAACCUGAUUUGAGAGAUACAAGCCUCAAGCCACAUGAUGAUAUAAUCCCCUUGGAACCAAGGUUUUUUUAAAAAAAACUCCAGUUAAGAUUUUGGUUCCGUUCAGCCUUGCCAAGUUUCAGUUUCUGCAAUGGGAACAGCUAUUGCUAAAGCAGGUUUUGCUCCUUCAAGAGCACCUGAAAUUAAUUCAUUUUAUAACAAUUCCUGUACCCUUCUAUCGAAAAACUAGUUGAAAGCAUUUUCCAAUGUUCCUAAAUACCCUUCUUCCCUCCAGCCACCUCUCCCCUCAUCCAUUAUGUAGUACAGAUUCCAAAGAGAGUGACCAGUCACGCCAUUCUUCUCCCUCCCUCUCCCUCUCUUUCUCCAACUAGUGAAAGAACCCCUGAAUCUCUCUUUUCUCAUUUACUUCUUCCUACUCUAUUGAUUUCUUGAUUUAUUUUGACAAAAAUCUUGCAUCAAAAUUGAACUAUCAGGUAUGAUUUUUCGAAAUUUUUCUCUUGUCUUCUAGUGUCUUUUUCUAAGGUUUUGUGGAACAAUUUUUCAUGUUUUUCCACUCUCCUCUUCCCCUCCUUUGACAAGGUGUUGUGCCAGGCAAAAUUUUCUGUGAUACAUAAGGUAAAAUAUAAAUUCUUUCAGCUUGUAGUUUUAGCUAUCCAAAAAAUCUAGACGCGUUAGUUUAUAUUUUUAUUUUCUUUGACAGAUUUCUAUGGUACUCUUUUGUCGUGAGAAAUACAACUGAAAGUUUAUCCUUCUAGAUAUGAUUUUGACUACUAGAAGUAGAAGUACUGUAAUUUCUCUUACUAUUUUAUUGGUUGUUCAUGAAAGAUGAUCAAACUUAAGCACAACUAAAAUUUUCAGCUCAGUGACUGGCUUUAAACUAGAAAAAAAAAACUUGUUGUAGUAAAUUGCAGGUUGGAAAAAUAUUUAUGUUUAAUUCAGAGUAGUAUGUUAAUAUUAUGAACCUUGAACCCUGCUAUCUUGAUCAUGGCGCAAUAUUUUCCGUGAUACAUAAUGUAAAAUUGAAAUUCUUUCAGCUUGUAGUUUUUAGCUAUGCAAAAAAUCUAGAUGCCUUAGUUUUUAUUUUUAUUUGCUGACAGAAUUUCAUGGGACUCUUUUGAGUUUGUUUUCAAAAAUACAAUUGAAAGAGCAUCUUUUUUUAUAUGAUUUUGAACACAGGAUAGUGUACAUUCUUUUACUAUUUUAUUCAUUGUUCAUGAAAGAUGAUCAAAUUCAAGCACAACUCAAAUGUUCAGCUUAGAGAGAUACCUUUAAACUAGUAAGGCUUGCUACAACUAAUUGCAGAUUAAAUAGAUACGAACGCUUAAUCCAAAGUUGUAUGUUAACAUUAUGAACCUUGAACUCUGUUAUAUUGAUCAUGGCCAUUUGAUGACGGACAGGUGUACAGUACUUGUUUGAAAUGAAAACCUAUAUUUUAGCAAAAGAAUGAAUUAACGAUAGCCAUAAAAAAUUGUUUUAAUUGUCAUAAAAGGCUGAAAAUAUAAAGAAUUAUUUAAUGGAAAUUACCUUCCCCUUAUAAUAAAAAAUUUGGUAGGACUUGGUCAUUCAGCAAGGUAUGUUAAGCCAAUGUUUUCUACAAUUUACUAACAUAAAUCUUAUUAGUAAGAAGCUAUAAGUAUAUUUUGUUUGCCCUGAUUCAUAUUUCUUUUUAGUUCUAAUUCAUUCUCAAUAUCUUUUCUCUUUGCAGGUUAGAGUUUAUGUCGAUAUUGCAUUUCCCCAAAAUAACUCUUUUUGUAAGUGUUGCUGCAUAAAUUUAAUUUGAGUUCCUACGUAUCUCUUUUAUUUUUAUAAUAUCCAUCUAAUUGUUAAUACAAAAGGUAUAUGAUUGAUAUUCAGAUGCAAUAUCACAAACCGAAGGCUAGCUUAAUGACUCUUAGACUACAGGAGGAUAAAGACUAUGGCAAGUAGACCAACGUAGCCCUGAUGACUCUCUUUUGUGCUUUGUUGUUAUAAUUAUCUUUUUGUUGGAGUUGUUAUGUAGACUACUCUUUCUAGCUCCUUUUUUUGGUUGUUACUAAGUUCAUGUUAAGCAAGUUGUCAUAGACAAAUUAUAAUUGUGCUCAGUGAUUGUGGCACAGCUCAUGGGUUGGAACAUGCCAAGUAAUUUUGCUGUAAACUGUGCUAUGAACUUGGGUGGUUUCUGUACCUAGCGCUUGCAGCAGGGAAAUGUUUUUAUGUUUCACGUUACAUAAAUAUAAUAGAUUGGAUGAUAGUAGAAAAUGGUAUAUAUUCUAACAUUCAGUUUUUCUGAUAAUCCAUAUGGUUUCUCAGCUUUAUUAACAAAGAUGAAUGAAAAGAUGGACACAGUUCAAUUUGUUUGGAGGUCUAUAUAGAAUUGAAGCUUUGUGUAUUUAUCAUAUCAAGAAGUACGGAACUAAAACUUUUUUAAAUUUAUGGCCUGCUAUGGCAUGUCCAUGACUUCUACUUGAAAAUUUCAUUCACAUCCUUUUUUUCUCCUUUCCUAUUCAAUACUUCUAUUAUAUGUUCUUUUCAAAUGCCUCUUCAAAUAUGUCCAUGUGUACUUGUGCAAAUAAUCAGGUUUUUUUUCCUAUAGAUUUAGAAUUGUACUUUAUAUUUGUUCCAACCAUUCAAAAACCAAUCUCGUGAACCAAGAAAAAACAAAACCAAUCAACCAUAUUAGCACCGAAAAUCCUCAUAUGACAGCCAAUAAAUGUAAAAAUAACAUCACAAUGAUAAUGACAAUAUUGUGAAUAAGAAUGACACGUAUAAUCAAUUUCGGCCUUAACUGGCAGAAACCACCUCAGUCAGUUUCAAAUCGUUUCAGGCUGAAACUGAUCUAUUUUACCCAAAAUGGAUCAGUUUUGACUGAAACUUAAGUCCUUGAUUGCAGUUAUAAUCUCAUCUAACCACAGAUACUUACCACAUGUAAUUUCCUAAGUAUAUUGCUAACCAUUCAAUAUGCCUUUGAUGUACUUUCUUGAUACUCACCACAUAACCUGUAGUGUAACUAUAUCAUAUGUUUUCUCCGAGUAAACCCAAAAAAGGGAGAGGAGGAAUAGAUUUUGCUUGCAUUCUGUAAUUUUCAUUAGAUAACUAGUCAAAGAAAUAAUCUUGAUGAUUAGUCUUUCUAGUUUUCAUAAUAUGUACUAAAAUAUUUCUCCAAUUAGUAAGCAUUUCCUGACUUUCAAGAUUGCAUGAAUACAACUAAUUAGCAAACUCAAUCCAACUUGUCAUAAUAUGUUGACAUAAUGAUGUUGUCUACAGAAAAAAUAAGUUCCAAGCACUACUAAUUUGGCAUUUAGCAUUACCUUGAUGAUUGUUGUUCAUAUCAAUUAUAUGAUCCUUCAAGGCCUUUCUUCGCUUAAUACAAUUCAUCCAAUGUCUUGGCAUGUUGUGUGUUGCUUGGCUUUUUCUUCUUGUAGAGUCCUUUUCCAAUAAUGUUCGCAAACCUUUUUUAAGACAUUUGCUUUAGAAGUCACACAAGCACUUUUGUUAGGUAAUGCCAGGCAUGCUCUUAUAUAACAGCAAUAAGCACAGAUCAAAGCAUUACACCUUCAGGCAGUUUAAUCAAUUUCCCUAAUAUCUACAUACAACUUCCUAGCAGCAUCAGACCACAAAUUCUAUGAUUUUUUUCUUAUAAAGAGUAUUCCUACAAUAUGCAUUUGCCAAUAGCAAGAAAGACAAUCUACAUGGUCUAAAGCAUUUGCAAGAUGGAGGAAGAGAGAAGCUCUAUUUUCUUUUCCAGAUGAAAAUAGAAUGUCUUGUCUUCUCAUUGCUUCAACUCAAUGUCAUUCAAGAUAUGCACUAAUUAAACUGAAAAGGGAGAAAUGUUACCUUUCCUUCUUCCUAGUCAUCAGAAACUUACUGAUAUAGGACAGCAUAAUCACGGACACCACUACCUAGCGCAAUGUCACACAACCCCCAUGUCUUAGUAGCUAAAAUAUUCCACCUUGGGUGAUGCGCCCACUUCAGAAUCUUUGUGGAAUCUCAAAUCAGCACCCACUUCCUAAGUGCUCUCUUACUUCAGAUGUUUUUAAAAUAUCUGCUUCCCUGCCUUCACCCAUAUCUACUCCCAAUUCUAGUAAUCAAGCCUUAUACAGCUACCUCUUUAAUAUCUCUUUUUUCUUUUGAGAAAAAAAGAUCACACUAUGAUAUUUAAAGCCAUUUCAUUUAGUCUUCAACUGCAUAUACAUGCUUCACCUUGUUAAACAUGCCCAAAACUAAAAUCCUAGGCAAAAAAGGAUUUCAGCAAGUAUUACAAAAACAUGUUUAAUUAUGAUAGUUUACAUGAUUGCUCCCUGUUACUCAAUUUAUAGUGUCUUCAAAGCAAGCAACUCAUAAGUUGCAUAUUACUCUCUAGGAAAAGACCUAGAACCAGUACUGAAUACUUAAAUUACACUGCAUUCGCUUGUUUAUAGCAAAGAAGAAGAAGAAGAAAGUCUGCCUUCUUCUUCUUCUUCUUCUUUAAAGAUCAUCUCCACCCCAACCCUUGUCACAUUGGACCUGCUUUGACACUGAGAAAAAGAUAAUAAGCUUUUUUUUCCCUUUUGUUUCUUCUUUUUAUGGUGUUGGUGGUUUUAGGGUGGUAUACAAGUGUGUUUAAGAAUUUAAAUACAAAUUAAGAAUUUAUCCUUGUUCCAUACUUAAAUGAAAUCAAUGAGCAACAUAUCUAAAGACCCUAUAAACAAUCAAUGUCAUAUGCCCAACAUAAACUAUAUAACCUAAAAAUCCAAGUAAAACUUGCAUAGUUCUUUCUGGAGAUGGCUUCCACUUCUCCGCAUGAGAAUUCAACACCUUAGCAUGUAACACACAAUGAAUAGGUGCAUCUUCACUUGAAGUAACAAGACUUCUCCACCCAUCACCUCGAUCAUUUAUUUUCUCCCACCUUCAAGAACAUUCACCAUGAGCUCUCUUUGAGGAAAGAAAACCAGCUUCUAUUCAUCUUUUCUAGUGCACGUCCUUAUCUUCUCUCUUCACUUCAAAGAUCCCUCCAAAACUCCCCUUCUCUAUGAACUUCAUUGUCUCUUCCUCAGUCCAUCUACUUAAUUUCUUUCAUCACUUUUAAUCUAUAUAUGAAUGGUACUUUUCUUGAGUCUAUGAAAAUCAGCUGCUCUAUUUAACAACAAGAAUUUAUGUCUACAAACUUCAUAUAUUACAUGCAUAUCAUCCGAAACCUUCCUGCUUCCCAUAAUUUUUCAUCUAUGAGGGAAGAAUUCAACACCAAUCAAGAUCCCUUCAAACUCCAUUAACAUCAUUUCACACUUGGAAAUCUACAAACUUCUCACGAAAGGGUACCUCAUUGGAAAGUAUUCACGCAAUUGUACCUGGAUACACCAAAUUUUGGAUUGUGUGGAUACUUGGGACACUUUAUGACACUCCUUGACACUUCAUAUCAUCAAAUCAACUUGUUAACUCCAACAUGAUAUUUAUCAAAGGUUUUUUCAGAUUCACAAAACUUUUCGACUGGUUAAUCCAACUAAUUAUUCAUCAUGUGCAUAAAUCUGUACAUAUUUGUACACACAUCUACAUCAUACAGAAGCAACGACAUGUUGGAUUUCUUUAAGGUUUCCAUGUCAGAUUCAAGAGUACCAUGCCCUGUGGUUAUGAAGCCAUCAUCCCAAACCUUGCAAGUUAAGAUGUAAUUGCAAGACAUUAACAAGUAAAACAAUAUCAAGUUUAUCAAGAAACAUUCCCUCAUAGCAAUUAUCCCAACCUUUCUUUUCCCUUUCUUCUCUAAAUCUGGAAAGGAUAUUUAAUUAAUUACCACUAAAUUUGCCUUCUUUUGUACCUUUCUUUUGCUUUCUAACAAAAGGAAGAAAAAAGAACAAACAAAGAAAAGAAAGAUCAAACGAGGAUGUUCAACAACUGCUUCAAUGAAAGCAAGAGAGAUUAAGAGGCUACACUAGAAGGAGAAGCAAUUGGUACCUUAAAUUUGGCAUGUUUGAGUAUGGGAACAUCGCCGGUCGCCCUCAGGUGAACUACAACUGCACGCAAUAGGAGAAGGUCAGCACUCAGCAAUGAACAGAUAGAUAGAUAGAGAGAGAGAGAGAGAGAGAG